CCAACGCAUUUUUUGUUUCAUUUUUCCUUCGAGCUCAAACACAGAAGAAACUCGAAAGAGCCCUAGUAAAUGGCUGCCCUCUUUCAUCUCUUCUUCUCUCCUCUUUCCAAUCGCUAAUUACCAAAUCUAUUCUGUUACUACUUUUUUUUUUUUUAAUUUAAAGAUCUUAGCCUCCAAAUCAAAUCGGAAGACACUUUGGUUUUUCUAUUGACGGCUUGAAGUUGAAGUUUCGGAUGAUGGCUUUACCUGGGCCCAGCAGCAAUAUCACGGUCUUGAAUCUGGUAGCUUCAUUCUGUUGCAUAAGCUACUGGCAGCCAAUGGUGAUUUUAAUCUUUGCUGUAGGUUCCAGUUCUUACAGUGUCAGCCUUGUAAGGAAUAAGCAUUCAGUUUCUGCCUUCUGAAAGGUCUAGUCAUUUAGCAUAGCGUUGGUACGUUAGAGAUUUCAACAUGCCAAAGGAGAGAAGAAAUUGUUCUGUGUCUUUUGACGGGUAUAGGAGAUCUCCCUUCUCAUGUAGCCCCAGCUCUAGUCACCAAUCUUCGCCAAAACUCCCUUCAGAAACUGAGGAAAAUCUAAAGGAAUGGGAAGAAGCCAGGUGCCCUGUCUGCAUGGAGCAUCCACACAAUGCAAUUCUCCUCAUAUGUUCGUCCCAUGAGAAGGGUUGCCAUCCAUACAUGUGCGAUACAAGUUAUCGCCACUCUAACUGUUUUGAUCAGUUUCGCAAGUCAUUUGUUAAUGCCUCAGCAGGAACAACACAAGAUCCUCAACAAGAAGGAGCUCAACUUGUAACUGCAAACUUAUCACCAGCGGCAGCUGCAACUUCAGAAUCAACUGUUACUGAUUUGCAGGAAGAAAGAAGUGAGGAAGGGCUCUCCACCCCAUCUAUUGUCUCAUGUGAGAAUCAGGUGCUGUCAAAACUACUGUGUCCACUGUGUCGUGGUGAGAUAAAAGAUUGGGUUGUUGUAGAGCCUGCUCGUCAAUUUAUGAAUGCCAAAUCUAGAAGCUGUUCCUCUGAAACAUGUAAUUUCACUGGUGCUUAUAAAGACCUAAGGAAGCAUGCAAGACUUGAGCACCCUUCUGCUCGCCCAUCAGAGGCUGACCCUGAACGGCAGCGAAAUUGGAGGAGGUUGGAGCGCCAGAGAGACCUUGGGGACUUGCUCAGCACUCUGCAAUCUUCAUUUGGGGAGGAGAGGGCUGAUGACGGCAUUUUGCCAAUUGAUGACGGAAGUUGGCUCACUGUCUUUUUCCUUAUUCGAGUGUUUCGACCAAGGUCUAGUCGUAGGAGCAGCAGUUGGUCUGGCACCUCAAGGGCAAGAGCUCAAUUGAGUCUUAGGAGGAGAUCUACCAGACUGUGGGGGGAAAGCUAUGAUGGGGAAACUGGAUCUACCAGAGAUGAAGACAAUGAGUCUUCAGACAGUGGUUCAUUUCCUUGGAGGCGCCGUGUAAGGAGACGGACAACUCCUGAUAAUCAACCAUGACUAUGAUUGUAUCUUUAGAGAUCUGUUUAUUGUUUGAAUGUGAAAGUUUCAAUUGUAGGAGGAAUAUGAGUCUAUUGCUUGAGCUUCUACAUCCGUUCCGCGCAGCUCGGAACAAAUUUGGUCCAGAGUUGCCGGAUGUUAUCAAAUAAGUGAAUUAAAUUUUAAUGUAUUCGGGAAAUUAAAUCAAUCAGUAUACUCUUUUCCUUGCGAAUCAAUUUCAUUUUGUCUUUAUGGCUGCAAGAAUUUGAGUGUUUUCGUUUCAACUGUUGAGGGGCAAUUGUUUUUGUUUUUGUUUUUUUUGUUACAGUGAUGGUGAUUAGAGCUAUUCUUGGCUGCCAUUUGGUUAAAGUACUAUUUGCGAAAAAGACACUGAAGCAGGAAAUCGGUCAUCUCACCAAAAGAAAGCAAAUUCAAUUCUUCUGGUUUCACAUUUGUGGAAUUUAUGCGUCAGUUUUGAGUCUCACGUGCUGCACUUUUAACAACAUUUUUUAUGUGGAUUAAUACAACCAAUGUCGCAUUUGGACAAAAGUUCGAAGGUGGUAGGGUUUUACUCGUUUCUUUGGGAGCGACCAAACGAACCUCUCAGUUUUUUCUUUUUAUCUCCCACUGAUUUUUUAAUUUUUUAUAAGUAAA
Durio zibethinus is the source of this 2109-nucleotide RNA transcript. RefSeq lists it as uncharacterized. NCBI's taxonomy places the organism in Eukaryota, Viridiplantae, Streptophyta, Magnoliopsida, Malvales, Malvaceae. The record is from RefSeq and is a predicted model, not a curated record.